Molecule: ribosomal RNA, 2114 nt
Filed under: Staphylococcus aureus
Lineage: Bacteria; Bacillati; Bacillota; Bacilli; Caryophanales; Staphylococcaceae
Description: partial 23S ribosomal RNA
Rfam family: Bacterial large subunit ribosomal RNA
Source: RNAcentral
ACUGAGGGUAGCGGAGAAAUUCCAAUCGAACCUGGAGAUAGCUGGUUCUCUCCGAAAUAGCUUUAGGGCUAGCCUCAAGUGAUGAUUAUUGGAGGUAGAGCACUGUUUGGACGAGGGGCCCCUCUCGGGUUACCGAAUUCAGACAAACUCCGAAUGCCAAUUAAUUUAACUUGGGAGUCAGAACAUGGGUGAUAAGGUCCGUGUUCGAAAGGGAAACAGCCCAGACCACCAGCUAAGGUCCCAAAAUAUAUGUUAAGUGGAAAAGGAUGUGGCGUUGCCCAGACAACUAGGAUGUUGGCUUAGAAGCAGCCAUCAUUUAAAGAGUGCGUAAUAGCUCACUAGUCGAGUGACACUGCGCCGAAAAUGUACCGGGGCUAAACAUAUUACCGAAGCUGUGGAUUGUCCUUUGGACAAUGGUAGGAGAGCGUUCUAAGGGCGUUGAAGCAUGAUCGUAAGGACAUGUGGAGCGCUUAGAAGUGAGAAUGCCGGUGUGAGUAGCGAAAGACGGGUGAGAAUCCCGUCCACCGAUUGACUAAGGUUUCCAGAGGAAGGCUCGUCCGCUCUGGGUUAGUCGGGUCCUAAGCUGAGGCCGACAGGCGUAGGCGAUGGAUAACAGGUUGAUAUUCCUGUACCACCUAUAAUCGUUUUAAUCGAUGGGGGGACGCAGUAGGAUAGGCGAAGCGUGCGAUUGGAUUGCACGUCUAAGCAGUAAGGCUGAGUAUUAGGCAAAUCCGGUACUCGUUAAGGCUGAGCUGUGAUGGGGAGAAGACAUUGUGUCUUCGAGUCGUUGAUUUCACACUGCCGAGAAAAGCCUCUAGAUAGAAAAUAGGUGCCCGUACCGCAAACCGACACAGGUAGUCAAGAUGAGAAUUCUAAGGUGAGCGAGCGAACUCUCGUUAAGGAACUCGGCAAAAUGACCCCGUAACUUCGGGAGAAGGGGUGCUCUUUAGGGUUAACGCCCAGAAGAGCCGCAGUGAAUAGGCCCAAGCGACUGUUUAUCAAAAACACAGGUCUCUGCUAAACCGUAAGGUGAUGUAUAGGGGCUGACGCCUGCCCGGUGCUGGAAGGUUAAGAGGAGUGGUUAGCUUCUGCGAAGCUACGAAUCGAAGCCCCAGUAAACGGCGGCCGUAACUAUAACGGUCCUAAGGUAGCGAAAUUCCUUGUCGGGUAAGUUCCGACCCGCACGAAAGGCGUAACGAUUUGGGCACUGUCUCAACGAGAGACUCGGUGAAAUCAUAGUACCUGUGAAGAUGCAGGUUACCCGCGACAGGACGGAAAGACCCCGUGGAGCUUUACUGUAGCCUGAUAUUGAAAUUCGGCACAGCUUGUACAGGAUAGGUAGGAGCCUUUGAAACGUGAGCGCUAGCUUACGUGGAGGCGCUGGUGGGAUACUACCCUAGCUGUGUUGGCUUUCUAACCCGCACCACUUAUCGUGGUGGGAGACAGUGUCAGGCGGGCAGUUUGACUGGGGCGGUCGCCUCCUAAAAGGUAACGGAGGCGCUCAAAGGUUCCCUCAGAAUGGUUGGAAAUCAUUCAUAGAGUGUAAAGGCAUAAGGGAGCUUGACUGCGAGACCUACAAGUCGAGCAGGGUCGAAAGACGGACUUAGUGAUCCGGUGGUUCCGCAUGGAAGGGCCAUCGCUCAACGGAUAAAAGCUACCCCGGGGAUAACAGGCUUAUCUCCCCCAAGAGUUCACAUCGACGGGGAGGUUUGGCACCUCGAUGUCGGCUCAUCGCAUCCUGGGGCUGUAGUCGGUCCCAAGGGUUGGGCUGUUCGCCCAUUAAAGCGGUACGCGAGCUGGGUUCAGAACGUCGUGAGACAGUUCGGUCCCUAUCCGUCGUGGGCGUAGGAAAUUUGAGAGGAGCUGUCCUUAGUACGAGAGGACCGGGAUGGACAUACCUCUGGUGUACCAGUUGUCGUGCCAACGGCAUAGCUGGGUAGCUAUGUGUGGACGGGAUAAGUGCUGAAAGCAUCUAAGCAUGAAGCCCCCCUCAAGAUGAGAUUUCCCAACUUCGGUUAUAAGAUCCCUCAAAGAUGAUGAGGUUAAUAGGUUCGAGGUGGAAGCAUGGUGACAUGUGGAGCUGACGAAUACUAAUCGAUCGAAGACUUAAUCAA